This is a long non-coding RNA of Gallus gallus (chicken), 1219 nucleotides long. RefSeq lists it as uncharacterized. NCBI's taxonomy places the organism in Eukaryota, Metazoa, Chordata, Aves, Galliformes, Phasianidae. The transcript is spliced from 3 exons. The record is from RefSeq and is a predicted model, not a curated record.
GCCUUUGAGCCCUUCACAGGAAAGUCAAAGGGAGCUGGGCCAUGCCGUGUAUAGAAAGUGGCAGAAGCGUUCAGACUACACACUGCUUGUUUUAGUGCCUCUGAAAGUAGAAGAAUGAGAUAAAGGAGAGGGAACAUGAUUUGGAAAAAACACUCCUCCAGCACUUCAGUAUAAUCCAUUGAUUCACUCAGAGACUGGGAACUUGCAUUCUUGAUUCACAGAGAAGUUCUAUCUUUUCUUCUAAACUGUGUUUUGUUCAUGUUCCACCAUUUUGCAAUUUCAUAUUUUCUUAUGGCUCAGUUAUAACUUUGCUUUAUGCUAUGAGCAAUUACUUCUGCCCUACAGUAGUAUAAUGAGAUUUCUGGGCACCAGAGAUGGGAUUUUCAAAGGUGUUCAGCGACAGAUUAGCUUUACCCCAAGGCAAUAGGAGCUUUACAGCUGAUUUUCAUAGGAGGAAAAUUAGGCCGACACCACAGGCUUAGGAAUAUUUUACCAUCCUGAUGGUUUUGCUUAUUUAUACUCUCACAUACACAUUUUGCUUCAUACAUACAAAUCCUACCAAAAUAAAACAAGAUGACCAGAAGUUUACAGAUGGGGCAUGUAUGAAAAUACAAAUGCAGUGACAGACAGUAACAUGUUAUAACCGUAUGAUAAGGAAAAAUACACAUUAAAAACAGAGUUUAUAAAUACUAAUAAUUAUGUACAUCUACAAAAGGGAAAUUUUCUGAAAAAAAAAGGGGGGGGGGGUGUAGGGUGGGGCAUACAUUUCAGUAGCUACAACUCACUUCUUGCUUCUCAUACUUCUUUAGGGACCUGUUUUAGUUGGCAUUGCGGUGAUGGGUCAAUAGUUGGACUAGAUGGCUCAGAAUGAUUAUUUGAUUCUAUGGUUCUGUGAUUCUACAGUUCUACUCUAUUCCAUAUACUUAGUCAGAUAGCCUGGAAAAAAAUAAUAUAUAUUUUUUAAAGGUAUUAAAGAAAAAGAUCCUCUUUUUAAUACAUCUCCUAUUGCUCUGACACAUGAAAAAAAGGAUCUCAAACUUAAAUUGUUUUGUACAUUCUAAAUACCUGCAAGUGAGCUUGUACUGUGUGCCCAAUAAAAAAUAAAUAAAUAGAAAUAGUGGUAGGUUUUUAUCAUCAGAGGCUGUUUGAUCGUAUUUGUACUACUGGACAGUAUUAAAACACUCUGUAGAAAAAGUACAAAAUAAACUAAUUUAUUCAA